CGGGACGGGUGAGUAAUGUCUGGGAAACUGCCUGAUGGAGGGGGGUAACUACUGGAAACGGUAGCUAAUACCGCAUAACGUCGCAAGACCAAAGAGGGGGACCUUCGGGCCUCUUGCCAUCGGAUGUGCCCAGAUGGGAUUAGCUAGUAGGUGGGGUAACGGCUCACCUAGGCGACGAUCCCUAGCUGGUCUGAGAGGAUGACCAGCCGCACUGGAACUGAGACACGGUCCAG
This 233-nucleotide ribosomal RNA is filed under the name uncultured bacterium. Its description in RNAcentral is "partial 16S ribosomal RNA". It matches the Rfam family "Bacterial small subunit ribosomal RNA", at positions 100 to 334 of the family's 1533-position model. The record is from RNAcentral.